UCCGCAACGGGAGAGGUCACAACAGUGAGAGGCCCGCGUACCGCAAAAAAAAAAAAAAGAUCACUGAAUUGUGUGCCUUAGCAGGGCGAGUUUUACGGUAUGUGAAUUAUAUCUUAAUAGAAAUGUAAAUAUAAACGUGAUCAACGAACAGAAUGACAUGAAGGAGGGCAUCUUGCGGGGGGUGGCUGGUGGCGCUGGGCAGGGGGACGGACCUUUAGAUUUGGUUCCUGGGAAGGUUGUUCCAAGGAGGAGGUGCUGUUUAGCUGGGACCUGAAGGAUGAGUCCCAAGGUGAUGAAGGUGCCAUAGGCUGAGAUGGGGAAGCUUGGAGGAGAAUCAGAUUUCGGGGAGGAAAUCAAGAGACCUCGCUGGGAUAUAUUAAAGAUAGAACCUAUACAAACGCAGAAGAACAACAAGGCUGAGCAAGACUCCACGGGGCUCAUGGAGAGGCUGAGCAGGAGAGGUGAUGGCUGCGGGCUGACACCCAGUGCCUGCCUCUCAGAAGCCAGGACGUGUGUGGACUGCACCCUCCCUGGAGGUUACACCAAGUGCUGGCACAGCACUCUGGCUCCCGGCCCGCCCGCCUGCUUGUGGGGCUCCUUCCAGCGUUUUUUGGGCCUUCUGCCACGUCCCAGGUCCUCCCCUUACAAAGGCAAGAAGGGCAGGGGAAGGGAGUGUCCCUUCUGAACACCAGAUGUGACACAUAGCCUUAAAUAGGCAGGAGCUCCAGUCUGAUAGCUGGGGUGGCCAUAGGGAGAAAAGUGGGCUUGCCACCCCUAAAGGGUCCAAAAUCUUAGAAAGGCACUGAGGCCCGUGAUGAAUACUGUGGUGCCCAGGGCACCCAGAGGAAAAAGCAGGCCCAACAUCGUGGCUGGAGCCAAGUCAAAGGGUCAGGAGAGAACUUAAUCUCAACUAGCACAUUCUUUCUCACCUAGUGGGUCCUGCGGUAGCAGUCAUCACUUUCAGUCAGCACCUUCGGGUGCUUCUAGCCCACACAACAUGGCACGCUUCUGUAUUUUCUUCCAUAAAGGUCUCUCCCCUCUGGCUCUCUGCCCAGCCAGUUGCCCACAGACUGGAAAACAAAGGCUCGAAGCCUUCCCCGGAGACCUGGGCUUAGGGAUGGGCCUUGGGCAGGCUGGGCGGAUGUUCUGUUGAUUUUUUUUCCAAGUGCAGAGAAUGUGACAGCCAAUUCCUGUUGGAAAUAGCUUUUGUUUUCUUUGGAGCACAAAGCACUUUUCCUUUCUCGUGAUUGUCUCAGCUCAGGUCAUGUUUAGGAUGAUGAUUCGCUAACCUAAUUGCAUGCCUUCCAGAUCCAUGGUUCUUAACCUUUCAGGGCAUAGACCCUAUUGCAACUCUGGUAAGAACUAUGGACCCUCCUCCCAAAAUGUACAUACAUACACAUGCACAUAAAUACCCCGAAUUUAAUAUUUAAUAUCAGUCCUAGCAGGUUCAGAACCCCUGGGUUGCGGGGGGGUGGGUCCUCCCUACCCCACCACCCCUCACCCCCUGCCCCAGCUUUCUUUUCCAUCUGGAUCUUAAAAUUCCCUCUCAGCCGUCCUCAGGGGCCAGCAUUUCUUGCCUGGCUCCUGCCUGAAUUAAUCUCAUGUAUACAGCCCACCGAGGAGCAGGGACUCUGGCUGGAUUUGGGCUGUCUCCAGUUUCAAGUCUCCAGUCCACUGGUGCUUCAAUUUUUCAGGCAGCAGAGUAUUCCAGUGGGAUUUGUAAAAUCUCUGUCUCAUCUGUGCCUGGUUAUUAUGGAGGAGCCGGGCAGCCAGAGUCUCGGCAGAUUCUAGAAGAGGUGGCACAGCUUUGGAUGAGACUAGGGAGACAGGCGUUGUCUGGUUUUGUUAAAUUCCAGAAGCAAGUCACUUUGCCAAAAAUGCCAAAAAUAAAAGACUGUCUAGACACUUACACACUAGAAGCUCUAAUAUGAGGAGAGACCAUCCCAAAGAUCAUUGAUUUAUACUGUAAAUGGCAAGACAAUUUUUUUUUUUUUUUUUGGCCUCACUGCGUGGCUUGUGAGAUUUUAGUUCCCUGACCAGGGAUUGAACCCCGGCCCUCAGCAGUGAGAGUUUGGAGUCGUAACCACUGGACCGCCAGGGAAUUCCCUGGGUUAACUUAUUUAACAGGCACGAAUUACAUCCCUGUCCUGUGCCCGGCACUGUUCUAGGCACCGGGGUGCACGGUGAGUCAGACAGACAAGGUACCAGAGAAUUUUAGUUAGCGGCAAGUGCAAGGAUGAAAAUAAAAUAGGGUGAAGUGAUGGAUGUGAUGGCGGUGGGGACAUGAUCAGAGAAGAUAUCUCUGAGAAGGUGCCUUGGAGCUGAAACCUGCGUAUUGAAAACGAAGCAUCCAUUGGGAGGAGUAGGAGAGCUCCAGGUGGAGGGAGCAGCUGCAAAGGCCCAGAGGCUGGAACCAGUUGGGCUGCUUGAGGACAAGGAAAACAUGUGUGGCUGGUGCAGCUUCCGGGAGAGGGGAGGUCGGGGCUGGGACGGAAGAGGUAGGCAGCGGAUGGACAGCUUCGGGCUUUGCGGAAAAGACAACGGAGAGUGUGGAGCAGGCGUCUGAUGUGAUUGGAUUUGCAUUUUGAGAACCCGCCUCCGUGGAAAGAAGUGUCUUCUGGGAGAGCAAGAGCGGAAGUACGAGGCUGACGAAUGAUCCAGGUGAUACAUUCACAUGGAAAAUCUCCUUCCCAUUCUUGUCCUCAUCUGCAAAGACACCCACUCCGCAUGUCUUAGGCCAUUACAGAGUAUUGAGUACAGUUCCCUGUGUUAUACAGAAUAACAUCAGGCCAAUUCCAAUAGAGGGGUAACAUACAAUAUACCUGUCCAGCAUUCCUCAAACCUGUCAAGGUCAUCAAAAACAAGGAAAGUCAGAAAAUGUCAAGCCAAGAGAAACUAAGGAGACAUAAGGACCACAUGUAAAGUAGUAUCCUGGUUGGGAGAUCCUGGAACACAUAAAGGACAUUAGGUAAACUAAGGAAAUCUGGAUAAACUGUGGACUUCAGUGAAUAAUGAUGUGUCAAUAUUGGUGCAUUAAUUGUAACAAUGUACCACACUUAUAAGAUGUUAACAUACAGGGAACCUGGGCUUGAGGUAAAUGGAAACUCUACUAUUUUCUCAGAUUUUCUGUAAAUCUAGAACUAUUUCAAAAUAUAAGUUCUAUUAAUUUUUUUCUACUCCUGAAGUUAUUUGAUUGUUAUUGUAAUUUUCAUUCCUCUAGUUACUGGUGAGGUUGAGCAUCUUCUCAUAUAUUUAUUGACUAUCCAGGAUUCUCUUUGAUGAAUUUCUUGUUCACAACCUUUGCCUUUUUUAAAAAAUGUGUUAUUUUUUUAAAAAUGUUUGUUGGAAUUUAUAUAUAUUCAGUGUAUUAAUCUUUUGUUGGGUCAUCUAUUAAUUUUGUUGUGUUGAGUUGCAAAUAUCUUCAGUUUGUAAGUAUCCUUUGAUAUUUUCUGUGGUAUAUUAUCAUGUUAUAUUAAUAUGGUCUGGCAGAUAUUUAAAAUUUUAAUGUUAUCAAUUUUAAUGUUUUAAUUUAUUGUUUUUAUUUAUUUAUUUAUUUUUGCCUGCGUUGGGUCUU
Molecule: long non-coding RNA, 3574 nt
Organism: Aethalodelphis obliquidens (Pacific white-sided dolphin)
Lineage: Eukaryota; Metazoa; Chordata; Mammalia; Artiodactyla; Delphinidae
Exons: 4
Source: RefSeq, a predicted model, not a curated record